GGUUUCGAGUGAGGGCCUCUGGGUCCACCUCCCACCCGUGUUUAUUUUACCUUGUUGCUUCGGCGGGCCCGCCUUAACUGGCCGCCGGGGGGCUUACGCCCCCGGGCCCGCGCCCGCCGAAGACACCCUCGAACUCUGUCUGAAGAUUGUAGUCUGAGUGAAAAUAUAAAUUAUUUAAAACUUUCAACAACGGAUCUCUUGGUUCCGGCAUCGAUGAAGAACGCAGC
This 227-nucleotide ribosomal RNA is filed under the name Penicillium chrysogenum. RNAcentral describes it as "partial 18S ribosomal RNA". The stretch from base 179 to 227 matches the Rfam family "5.8S ribosomal RNA", at positions 1 to 49 of the family's 154-position model. The record is from RNAcentral. Lineage: Eukaryota; Fungi; Ascomycota; Eurotiomycetes; Eurotiales; Aspergillaceae.